Amphiprion ocellaris (clown anemonefish) is the source of this 258-nucleotide long non-coding RNA. The record is from Ensembl. Lineage: Eukaryota; Metazoa; Chordata; Actinopteri; Pomacentridae.
AGCAAUUCCUCCUUAAGGUCAGAGAUUGCAGCAUCUGAGGGCCUCUUCAAAAGAAGACAUAGUUGAUGAAGGCGUUCUGGAGCAGGACCAGAAAGACCACGACCAAGCAGCCUUGAGAUCUUAGGCAUCGUCUCCCUCAGAUCCACUAACCACUGGAACACAUCUCCAAAGUUCUGCCGGGCCAGCUCAGCUUCCCCUCAGAAGAAGUUCCACCAGAUGAAGGAGCCUUUUGAGAGGCAGCUGGCAUCGUGAUUGGAC